This is a long non-coding RNA of Centropristis striata (black sea bass), 1127 nucleotides long. RefSeq lists it as uncharacterized. NCBI's taxonomy places the organism in Eukaryota, Metazoa, Chordata, Actinopteri, Perciformes, Serranidae. The record is from RefSeq and is a predicted model, not a curated record. The transcript is spliced from 2 exons.
UACCGGAUGUAGUAGGUAAGACUAUGUAUUGGGGCAUACAUAUUAAUCUGGUAUGUAUGUUGGUAAGCACUUUAGGACUAUAAUUUGCAGUUUAUGGUGAAGAAAAUCUGUCUAAAGCCCAAAAGGAAGCUUCUUGUCUCCCUGUACCUGCGCUUCCUGCUGUGACGCUGACGGGGGGCCGAACUCGUUCUCGCUCAUUCUCCGAACGUUUCCGAUCUCGGCCGAUCUUCUGCAGCGGCGGUGGUGUUGCUGUUUUUGCUGCGUGUCCUGCUCGCGUCUACACCGUCCAUCUCUGACACUUGUUUUCCAUCAUGGUGGACAUUUUGUUGUUGAUGUUUUUCGCCAUCGUCGGCCUCGUCUUCCUCUCCUACAUCAUCUACUUGCUGUGAUGAAGAUGAUGAUGAUAAAGCGUCCGGCUCAGGCGCACAGGCGGACACAGGAUGUGCGUUUGUCUUCUGCAUCCCUGCUUUCCACCAUAGACAAUGGUAGAAGAGCCAGGAUCCGGCCGUGUUGGUUUCUCCACUGGAGCUCUCAUGUUGGAGGUGAAGAGCAAACCAGCUGAGAGGAAAAUCAAAUGAAGUGGAAGCCAAACUCUUUCUGCCUCUUUGUCUCCUACUUGCACUCUGUCAUCACCCUUCCUCUUUCCUUAUUUUCUGGGUCAGGGUCCUCCAACAAAAUGUCACCCACUUAUUAAUUUGCAGAGCAUUUUUUAUGCUACUCAGUGAUUAGCAUUUUUCUCUUUAAAUGUUACCUCUGCACAAGUCCGAUAAAUCUCUAAAACAUAGAUGCCGGAUGAGUUUGUAGGCUUGGAUGUAAUACGGGUGUAGAAUUUGCCUUUUUAACUACACUGUGAGCUCGUUUUUUGGCUCUGACAUUGAUGUGUGAUGUUGAGUUGUGUGGCCAACCCUUCUGUACGUUUGUUUUCUCAGACAGUUGGCGAGCUUCAGCCUUUUCAUUGUCAGAGAUGCCUUGGUUUGGUCUGCCUCGACAUCAGUGUUAUUAUAUGACUUUAAUCGUGUGUUGCCAAUAUGUUCUCCUCCUCACUACAAUCAAAGAUUCCCCGUCAGGGUAAAGGGGAAGUUAUAUACAGUAACUCCUGUUAUGUUUAUCUGUUUUUUGUUAUUUAC